UACGGGGGGGGCAAGCGUUGUUCGGAAUUACUGGGCGUAAAGGGCUCGUAGGCGGCCAACUAAGUCAGACGUGAAAUCCCCAGGCUCAACCUGGGAACUGCGUCUGAUACUGGAUGGCUUGAAUCCGGGAGAGGGAUGCAGAAUUCCUGGUGUAGCGGUGAAAUGCGCAGAUAUCAGGAGGAACACCGGUGGCGAAGGCGGGUCUCUGGGCCGAUACUGACGCUGAGGAGCGAAAGCAUGGGUAGCGAACAGG
RNAcentral lists this ribosomal RNA (253 nucleotides) under uncultured bacterium. RNAcentral's name for it is "partial 16S ribosomal RNA". It matches the Rfam family "Bacterial small subunit ribosomal RNA", at positions 524 to 776 of the family's 1533-position model. The record is from RNAcentral.